This 586-nucleotide ribosomal RNA is filed under the name uncultured bacterium. Its description in RNAcentral is "partial 16S ribosomal RNA". It matches the Rfam family "Bacterial small subunit ribosomal RNA", at positions 355 to 1375 of the family's 1533-position model. The record is from RNAcentral.
UGGGGAAUUUUGGACAAUGGGCGAAAGCCUGAUCCAGCAAUGCCGCGUGUGUGAAGAAGGCCUUCGGGUCUGAUAAGCACUUUUGUCCGGAAAGAAAUCCUUGGCUCUAAUACAGUCGGGGGAUGACGGUACCGGAAGAAUAAGCACCGGCUAACUACGUGCCAGCAGCCGCGGUAAUACGUAGGGUGCAAGCGUUAAUCGGAAUUACUGGGCGUAAAGCGUGCGCAGGCGGUUUGCUAAGACCGAUGUGAAAUCCCCGGGCUCAACCUGGGAACUGCAUUGGUGACUGGCAGGCUAGAGUAUGGCAGAGGGGGGUAGAAUUCCACGUGUAGCAGUGAAAUGCGUAGAGAUGUGGAGGAAUACCGAUGGCGAAGGCAGCCCCCUGGGCCAAUACUGACGCUCAUGCACGAAAGCGUGGGGAGCAAACAGGAUUAGAUACCCUGGUAGUCCACGCCCUAAACGAUGUCAACUAGUUGUUGGGGAUUCAUUUCCUUAGUAACGUAGCUAACGCGUGAAGUUGACCGCCUGGGGAGUACGGUCGCAAGAUUAAAACUCAAAGGAAUUGACGGGGUCAUAGCUGUUUCCU